GGAAGUAAAGGUCGUAACAAGGUUUCCGUAGGUGAACCUGCGGAAGGAUCAUUCAUAAUAAGUGUUUUACUGCACUUUUUAAAAAUAGUACUCACCUUGUGUGCAAUGUUGUGUUUCUUUUCGGAGAAACACCUACACCAACCUAUAACCUUGAACCACUUUGUCUGAAAAACUAUUAUGAAUACUUAAUUCAAAAUACAACUUUCAACAACAGAUCUCUUGGCUCUC
This 228-nucleotide unclassified non-coding RNA is filed under the name plant metagenome. RNAcentral's name for it is "partial contains small subunit ribosomal RNA and internal transcribed spacer 1". The stretch from base 1 to 54 matches the Rfam family "Eukaryotic small subunit ribosomal RNA", at positions 1778 to 1831 of the family's 1831-position model. The record is from RNAcentral.